This 419-nucleotide ribosomal RNA is filed under the name bacterium. Its description in RNAcentral is "partial 16S ribosomal RNA". It matches the Rfam family "Bacterial small subunit ribosomal RNA", at positions 355 to 776 of the family's 1533-position model. The record is from RNAcentral.
UGGGGGAUAUUGCACAAUGGGCGAAAGCCUGAUGCAGCGACGCCGCGUGGGGGAUGAAGGCUUUCGGGUUGUAAACCUCUUUCGCUAUCGAACAAGGCCCGCUUAGGGUGGGUUGAGGGUAGGUGGAGAAGAAGCGCCGGCUACUACGUGCCAGCAGCCGCGGUAAUACGUAGGGCGCGAGCGUUGUCCGGAAUUAUUGGGCGUAAAGGGCUUGUAGGCGGCUUGUUGCGCCUGCUGUGAAAACGCGGGGCUUAACUUCGCGCGUGCAGUGGGUACGGGCAGGCUUGAGUGUGGUAGGGGUGACUGGAAUGCCAGGUGUAGCGGUGGAAUGCGCAGAUAUCUGGAGGAACACCGAUGGCGAAGGCAGGUCACUGGGCCAUUACUGACGCUGAGGAGCGAAAGCAUGGGUAGCGAACAGG